AUUGAACGCUGGCGGCAGGCUUAACACAUGCAAGUCGAGCGGGGGAAGGUAGCUUGCUACCGGACCUAGCGGCGGACGGGUGAGUAAUGCUUAGGAAUCUGCCUAUUAGUGGGGGACAACAUCUCGAAAGGGAUGCUAAUACCGCAUACGUCCUACGGGAGAAAGCAGGGGAUCUUCGGACCUUGCGCUAAUAGAUGAGCCUAAGUCGGAUUAGCUAGUCGGUGGGGUAAAGGCCUACCAAGGCGACGAUCUGUAGCGGGUCUGAGAGGAUGAUCCGCCACACUGGGACUGAGACACGGCCCAGACUCCUACGGGAGGCAGCAGUGGGGAAUAUUGGACAAUGGGGGGAACCCUGAUCCAGCCAUGCCGCGUGUGUGAAGAAGGCCUUAUGGUUGUAAAGCACUUUAAGCGAGGAGGAGGCUACUUUAGUUAAUACCUAGAGAUAGUGGACGUUACUCGCAGAAUAAGCACCGGCUAACUCUGUGCCAGCCGCCGCCGCAG
This 501-nucleotide ribosomal RNA is filed under the name uncultured bacterium. RNAcentral's name for it is "partial 16S ribosomal RNA". It matches the Rfam family "Bacterial small subunit ribosomal RNA", at positions 30 to 523 of the family's 1533-position model. The record is from RNAcentral.